Molecule: long non-coding RNA, 1628 nt
Filed under: Olea europaea subsp. europaea
Lineage: Eukaryota; Viridiplantae; Streptophyta; Magnoliopsida; Lamiales; Oleaceae
Source: RNAcentral
GGAUCAAUAACAAAGUAGAAAAGUUUAAUUUCAACUCAUACAAAUAGUCCUUCAUGUGCAAGACUCCAAAAUCGACUGUAAAUUGGAGACUAAGUACUACAAGGAAUCUUCUCUCAAGUUUAAUUAGAAGUCUUCCAUAUAAUCAUUACCUUUUAUUAUUUGCAAUAGAAGUCCUUCAAAUUUUAACUUUUGGUGCAAUUACCCAACAAUCUCCACCUUGUCGAAAACGAGUCAAAAAAUCGUCAUCUCUUUUACAACUUUUAAUCACAAUACUUUGGAAAAUAUAGGUAAGUAUUUGACACACUUUAACGGUCUCAUACUCCACCAUAUGAGUAUAACCACUUAGAAUUAUCCACGAACUCCGAGCAUUCCAUCAGCUAAUGUCGAAACAAUAACCCUACUGAGUUAUGGUGCAACUCUCCCACUGACUUUUCCAGAGAGCUCAUCAGCUAUCGACAUCACAACACCACCACAUACCUACAUACCUUGCAUCAAAUAUCAGUCAAUACUAUGGGCAAAUAUGCUAACUCAAGCUAGUAAGAACACAUUCUCUAUCAUGGCAACUGGCAAUAUGUCAUGAGGAUGUUCCCAUCUUACUUUACAGCACCACAUCCGCGUUCUCUUCCACCAGUAGAGCCACAUUGUCAAACCCCAAGUAGUUAGCCAACCCUGCUUCACCUUUUGGACAAUUUUUGUUCACAUGGACAGUCUGACCGUAGUUCCAACAAGUAGCUUUCUUCCUCAUAAAGUUGUCAUUCUUUCCCUUUCCAAUCAUAAGCACCGCAUUGUCAGAUAAAAUAUUCUGUCCCCCUAAUAUUCUUGCUUCUAAGAUCAAGUUGCUUUUCACUUCUGCAAAACUCACAGUUUCCUUCCUAUACAUCAAGAUUGGCUUAUAUGUUCAUAGGUAGACGGAAGAGACUAGAUGAGCCAUAGUGCCUUAUCCACUUCAUCUAUCUUCACUCCAAUAGCCUCAAGUUCUAAAACAAUCUCGUUGAGAGCACUCAGAUUGUCUGAGAUUUUCGUAUCUGCUUCCAUGCGCAAUGAAUGAAAUUGUUUCUUUAGGUACAACUGAUUUGAGAAGCUUUUGUUUGAUAUAGUUCUUUUAGCUUCUCCCAUUGUUCCUUUGUACCAUAUAUCCCAUGAAUAUUUACAAGAACGUUUUUAGCCAGAUAGAUACAUAUCAUGCUUGCAAACUUCAAAUCCAAUUCUUCGCAAUCUUUAUCGUUUAUAUGGAUUCAACUUCCUUGCCAAAACUCUUGGUUGAUUUUCCUUUGAAAGCCCUGUGCAGUCCAGCUUGAAUCGAUAAAUCCCUAACUUGAGCGAAAGCUAACUUAGAUUCAUAUCCGAAUCUCCUAGGUUCUCUCAUUUGUUUUCUCUCUGUAUCCCUAACUAAAUUGUAGUUUGCCAAAGAAUUUUCUUCCUCAAAAUGCUUUUCUAUCACUACUUCAUCUCUAAUCUCCACCUCAGGUUCCUAAACCCGAGUAUCUACCUCAUUUGGAAUAGUAGGAACAGAUGUGCUAAGUUUUUCUAGCUCACCUUAAACUGAUGUCUCUUUUCACGUGGUUCGUUUUACUCAUAGAUUCGGGUUUAUCCCUAAGGCAAGGCAUCUCACCCUCGUUAAACGUGAC